UAGGGAAUCUUCCGCAAUGGACGAAAGUCUGACGGAGCAACGCCGCGUGAGUGAAGAAGGCUUUCGGUUCGUAAAACUCUGUUGUUAGGGAAGAAAAAAUGUAUAGUAACUAUAUACAAAAGAGACGGUACCUAACCAGAAAGCCACGGCUAACUACGUGCCAGCAGCCGCGGUAAUACGUAGGUGGCAAGCGUUGUCCGGAAUUAUUGGGCGUAAAGCGCGCGCAGGUGGUUUAGAAAGUCUGAUGUGAAAGCCCACGGCUCAACCGGGGAGGGUCAUUGGAAACUAAUAAACUUGAGUGCAGGAGAGAAAAGUGGAAUUCCUAGUGGAGCGGUGAAAUGCGGAGAGAUUAGGAGGAACACCGGUGGCGAAAGCGGCUUUUUGGCCUGCAACUGACACUGAGGCGCGAAAGCGUGGGGAGCAAACAGG
RNAcentral lists this ribosomal RNA (429 nucleotides) under Verrucomicrobiota bacterium. RNAcentral's name for it is "Verrucomicrobia bacterium partial 16S ribosomal RNA". It matches the Rfam family "Bacterial small subunit ribosomal RNA", at positions 355 to 776 of the family's 1533-position model. Lineage: Bacteria; Pseudomonadati; Verrucomicrobiota. The record is from RNAcentral.